RNAcentral lists this RNase P RNA (347 nucleotides) under Parvibacter caecicola. RNAcentral describes it as "Coriobacteriaceae bacterium NR06 Bacterial RNase P class A". It matches the Rfam family "Bacterial RNase P class A". From Rfam's summary of the family: Ribonuclease P (RNase P) is a ubiquitous endoribonuclease, found in archaea, bacteria and eukarya as well as chloroplasts and mitochondria. Its best characterised activity is the generation of mature 5'-ends of tRNAs by cleaving the 5'-leader elements of precursor-tRNAs. The record is from Rfam by way of RNAcentral. Lineage: Bacteria; Bacillati; Actinomycetota; Coriobacteriia; Coriobacteriales; Coriobacteriaceae.
CGAGUGGGCCAGGCGGUCGCGCGCUAUCAAAGCGUGAGGAAAGUCCGGGCUCCUAAGGGCAAGAUGCCAGCUAACGGCUGGGCGGGGCAACCCGACGGAUCAGUGCCACAGAAAAGAAAACUCCCUUGCUUUCGGGCGAGAGAAAAGCUGAAACGGUGCGGUAAGAGCGCACCAGUGCGUCGGUAACGGCGCAGCUUGGCAAACCCCAUCUGGAGCAAGCGCAAAUAGGAACGCCAUACGGCUGCCCUUCCGUGCGUUCGGGUUGCGUGCUAAAGGCGGGCGGUGACGUCCGUCGCAGAUAAAUGGCCGUCCAACGACAGAACCCGGCUUAUCGGCCCGCUCGCCAU